This 484-nucleotide ribosomal RNA is filed under the name uncultured bacterium. Its description in RNAcentral is "partial 16S ribosomal RNA". It matches the Rfam family "Bacterial small subunit ribosomal RNA", at positions 30 to 507 of the family's 1533-position model. The record is from RNAcentral.
AUUGAACGCUGGCGGCAGGCCUAACACAUGCAAGUCGAGCGGAGGAAGGGAGCUUGCUCCUGGAUUCAGCGGCGGACGGGUGAGUAAUGCCUAGGAAACUGCCUGGUAGUGGGGGAUAACGUCCGGAAACGGGCGCUAAUACCGCAUACGUCCUGAGGGAGAAAGUGGGGGAUCUUCGGACCUCACGCUAUCAGAUGAGCCUAGGUCGGAUUAGCUAGUUGGUGGGGUAAAGUCCUACCAAGGCGACGAUCCGUAACUGGUCUGAGAGGAUGAUCAGUCACACUGGAACUGAGACACGGUCCAGACUACUACGGGAGGCAGCAGUGGGGAAUAUUGGACAAUGGGCGAAAGCCUGAUCCAGCCAUGCCGCGUGUGUGAAGAAGGUCUUCGGAUUGUAAAGCACGUUAAGUUGGGAGGAAGGGCAGUAAGUUAAUACCUUGCUGUUUUGACGUUACCAACAGAAUAAGCACCGGCUAACUUCGUG